CGAAGAGCGUAGGGUGGAUGCCUAGGCACCAGGAGCCGAAGAAGGACGCGGCAACCUGCGAUAAGCCAUGGUGAGCCGGAAGCAGGCAGUGACCCAUGGAUAUCCGAAUGGGGGAACCCGCCUGAGUUAAUAAUCAGGCAUCCAUAACUGAAUUCAUAGGUUAUGGAAGGCAUACCCGGGGAACUGAAACAUCUAAGUACCCGGAGGAAAAGAAAGAAAUAUCGAUUUCCUCAGUAGCGGCGAGCGAACGGGAAAGAGCCCAAACCGGUAAGGUUUAUGCUUUACCGGGGUUGCGGACCUGCACGACAGGCUGACGGAAAGCUAGCCGAAGCGGCUGGAAAGCCGGACCAGAGAAGGUGACAGUCCUGUAGGCGAAAGCGGGAAGUUGGCUGUGCAGGCUCCAGAGUAGCACGGGACACGAGGAAUCCUGUGUGAAGCAGGGAGGACCACCUCCCAAGGCUAAAUACUCCCUGGUGACCGAUAGUGGAGAAGUACCGUGAGGGAAAGGUGAAAAGCACCCCUGGCGGGGAGUGAAAGAGAACCUGAAACCCUAUGUUUACAACCGGUGGAAGCACGUUAAAGUGCGACCGCGUACUUUUUGCAGAACGGGCCGGCGAGUUGCGGUAUGAUGCGAGGUUAAGGACUUUUAAGGUCCGGAGCCGCAGGGAAACCGAGUCUGAAUAGGGCGUAUGAGUAUCAUGCUGCAGACCCGAAACCAGGUGACCUAUCCAUGGGCAGGAUGAAACGGAAGUAAAAUUCCGCGGAGGUCCGAACCCACCGUUGUUGAAAAAGCGGGGGAUGACCUGUGGAUAGCGGUGAAAUGCCAAUCGAACCUGGAGAUAGCUGGUUCUCCUCGAAAUAGCUUUAGGGCUAGCCUCAGGACAGAGUCAUGGAGGUAGAGCACUGAAUGGGCUAGGGGGCCGACAAGCUUACCGAACCCUAUCAAACUCCGAAUGCCAUAGACUUGGUUCCUGGGAGUCAGACUACGUGAGAUAAGUUUCGUGGUCGAGAGGGAAAGAGCCCAGACCAUCAGCUAAGGUCCCGAAGUACAGGUUAAGUGGAAAAGGAUGUGGGAUUGCGAAGACAACCAGGAUGUUGGCUUAGAAGCAGCCAUUCAUUUAAAGAGUGCGUAAUAGCUCACUGGUCGAGUGGUCCUGCGCCGAAAAUGUCCGGGGCUGAAACCUGUCACCGAAGCUAUGGAUUGCCGUGGUAUCACUGAUGCUCUUAGGAGCGGUAUUUAGGGAAGGACAUUAUGUCAAAACCGACCUGUUUAAUAGGGGACAGGAAAAGAAGGUUUUGACACAAAUGUGCCACACAAGCUGAAACCUAAGUACUGUUGAGGGUAUCAGUGAUACCGCGGCAGUGGUAGAGGAGCGUCGUAUACUGGCUGAAGCCAUACCGAAAGGAGUGGUGGACGGUAUACGAGAGAGAAUGCCGGUAUGAGUAGCGAGAGCGGAGUGAGAAUCUCCGCCGUCGAAAGCCUAAGGUUUCCUGAGGAAGGUUCGUCCGCUCAGGGUAAGUCGGGACCUAAGCCGAGGGCGAAAGCCGUAGGCGAUGGACAAUCGGUUGAGAUUCCGAUACCACCUUUCGUCCGUUUGAGAGAAGCAGUGACACAGUAGGAUAGAUGGGGCAGGUUGUUGGUAGAGCCUGUUCAAGCAGUUAGUCCGGCAAGUGAGUGAAGUACCGCUUGCCGCUAAGGAUGAGCUGUGAUGAGGACCGAAGAUAGAGUAGGGAAGCCAUCGAAUCCCCACUGGCGAGAAAAGCUGCUAUCGAGGAUGGAGGGUGCCCGUACCGCAAACCGACACAGGUAGGCGAGGAGAGAAUCCUAAGACGAACGGGAGAACCCUUGUUAAGGAACUCGGCAAAAUGACCCCGUAACUUCGGGAGAAGGGGUGCCUGGGAGGCCAGGCCGCAGAGAGUAGGCCCAAGCGACUGUUUAUCAAAAACACAGGUCUCUGCUAACUCGAGAGAGGAAGUAUAGGGGCUGACGCCUGCCCAGUGCUGGAAGGUUAAGGGGAAGAGUUAGCGCAAGCGAAGCUUAGAACCGAAGCCCCAGUGAACGGCGGCCGUAACUAUAACGGUCCUAAGGUAGCGAAAUUCCUUGUCGGGUAAGUUCCGACCCGCACGAAAGGCGUAACGACUUGGGCGCUGUCUCAACAAGGGACCCGGCGAAAUUGUAGUACCAGUGAAGAUACUGGUUACCCGCGAUAGGACGGAAAGACCCCGUAGAGCUUUACUGCAGCCUGAUAUUGGAUCUUGGUGCGGAAUGUACAGGAUAGGUGGGAGACAGAGAAGCAUGGACGCCAGUCUGUGUGGAGUCGUCCUUGGGAUACCACUCUUUUCGUGCCGGGGUUCUAACCCUGUGCCGUGAUCCGGGCGGGGGACAUUGUCAGGUGGGCAGUUUGACUGGGGCGGUCGCCUCCUAAAGAGUAACGGAGGCGCCCAAAGGUCUCCUCAGAAUGGUUGGAAAUCAUUCGGAGAGUGUAAAGGCAGAAGGGGGCCUGACUGCGAGAGAGACAUCUCGAGCAGGGACGAAAGUCGGGCUUAGUGAUCCGGCGGUAUUGAGUGGAAGAGCCGUCGCUCAACGGAUAAAAGCUACCUCGGGGAUAACAGGCUUAUCUCCCCCAAGAGUCCACAUCGACGGGGAGGUUUGGCACCUCGAUGUCGGCUCGUCACAUCCUGGGGCCGGAGUAGGUCCCAAGGGUUGGGCUGUUCGCCCAUUAAAGUGGCACGCGAGCUGGGUUCAGAACGUCGUGAGACAGUUCGGUCCCUAUCCAUCGCGGGCGCAGGAAAUUUGAGAGGAGCUGUCCCUAGUACGAGAGGACCGGGAUGGACGUACCACUGGUGUAUCAGUUGUCGCGCCAGCGGCACAGCUGAGUAGCCAAGUACGGACGGGAUAAACGCUGAAGGCAUCUAAGCGUGAAGCCCCCCUCAAGAUAAGAUUUCCCAUACCGUUAAGGUAGUAAGACCCCUUGCAGAAGACGAGGUUGAUAGGUCAGAGGUGGAAGUGCAGUAAUGCAUGAAGCUGACUGAUACUAAUCGGUCGAGGGCUUGAUCU
RNAcentral lists this ribosomal RNA (3058 nucleotides) under metagenome. RNAcentral's name for it is "bacterial LSU rRNA". It matches the Rfam family "Bacterial large subunit ribosomal RNA". The record is from RNAcentral.